RNAcentral lists this ribosomal RNA (1165 nucleotides) under Staphylococcus aureus. RNAcentral's name for it is "bacterial SSU rRNA". It matches the Rfam family "Bacterial small subunit ribosomal RNA", at positions 34 to 1194 of the family's 1533-position model. Lineage: Bacteria; Bacillati; Bacillota; Bacilli; Caryophanales; Staphylococcaceae. The record is from RNAcentral.
CAUUUCGGGGCAGCUAUAUAAUGCAGUCGAGCGAACGGACGAGAAGCUUGCUUCUCUGAUGUUAGCGGCGGACGGGUGAGUAACACGUGGAUAACCUACCUAUAAGACUGGGAUAACUUCGGGAAACCGGAGCUAAUACCGGAUAAUAUUUUGAACCGCAUGGUUCAAAAGUGAAAGACGGUCUUGCUGUCACUUAUAGAUGGAUCCGCGCUGCAUUAGCUAGUUGGUAAGGUAACGGCUUACCAAGGCAACGAUGCAUAGCCGACCUGAGAGGGUGAUCGGCCACACUGGAACUGAGACACGGUCCAGACUCCUACGGGAGGCAGCAGUAGGGAAUCUUCCGCAAUGGGCGAAAGCCUGACGGAGCAACGCCGCGUGAGUGAUGAAGGUCUUCGGAUCGUAAAACUCUGUUAUUAGGGAAGAACAUAUGUGUAAGUAACUGUGCACAUCUUGACGGUACCUAAUCAGAAAGCCACGGCUAACUACGUGCCAGCAGCCGCGGUAAUACGUAGGUGGCAAGCGUUAUCCGGAAUUAUUGGGCGUAAAGCGCGCGUAGGCGGUUUUUUAAGUCUGAUGUGAAAGCCCACGGCUCAACCGUGGAGGGUCAUUGGAAACUGGAAAACUUGAGUGCAGAAGAGGAAAGUGGAAUUCCAUGUGUAGCGGUGAAAUGCGCAGAGAUAUGGAGGAACACCAGUGGCGAAGGCGACUUUCUGGUCUGUAACUGACGCUGAUGUGCGAAAGCGUGGGGAUCAAACAGGAUUAGAUACCCUGGUAGUCCACGCCGUAAACGAUGAGUGCUAAGUGUUAGGGGGUUUCCGCCCCUUAGUGCUGCAGCUAACGCAUUAAGCACUCCGCCUGGGGAGUACGACCGCAAGGUUGAAACUCAAAGGAAUUGACGGGGACCCGCACAAGCGGUGGAGCAUGUGGUUUAAUUCGAAGCAACGCGAAGAACCUUACCAAAUCUGACAUCCUUUGACACUCUAGAGAUAGAGCCUUCCCCUUCGGCGGACAAAGUGACAGUGGUGCAUGGUUGUCGUCAGCUCUGUCGUGAGAUGUUGGGGUUAAUCCGCAACACCGCAACCUUAGCUUAGUUGCCUCAUUAAGUUGGGCACUCUUAAUUACUGUCCGCUGCCCACCGAGAAGAAUGUGAUUAGCUUCAAUCAUA